This 468-nucleotide ribosomal RNA is filed under the name uncultured bacterium. Its description in RNAcentral is "partial 16S ribosomal RNA". It matches the Rfam family "Bacterial small subunit ribosomal RNA", at positions 28 to 507 of the family's 1533-position model. The record is from RNAcentral.
GUCGAACGCUGGCGGCGUGCUUAACACAUGCCAGUCGAACGGAAAGGCCCUGCUUUUGUGGGGUGCUCGAGUGGCGAACGGGUGAGUAACACGUGAGUAACCUGCCCUUGACUUUGGGAUAACUUCAGGAAACUGGGGCUAAUACCGGAUAGGAGCUCCUGCUGCAUGGUGGGGGUUGGAAAGUUUCGGCGGUUGGGGAUGGACUCGCGGCUUAUCAGCUUGUUGGUGGGGUAGUGGCUUACCAAGGCUUUGACGGGUAGCCGGCCUGAGAGGGUGACCGGCCACAUUGGGACUGAGAUACGGCCCAGACUCCUACGGGAGGCAGCAGUGGGGAAUAUUGCACAAUGGGCGGAAGCCUGAUGCAGCAACGCCGCGUGCGGGAUGACGGCCUUCGGGUUGUAAACCGCUUUCGCCUGUGACGAAGCGUGAGUGACGGUAAUGGGUAAAGAAGCACCGGCUAACUACGUG